GAGCUAAAGAAAACACAAUUAUACUGCUUAUUAGAUCGCUAGUGUUGCACUUGCCAGUCUAUGAAAAUUUGUCAACACCUAACUCUUCUGGGUGCCUCUUCAUUGUUCUGUUGGCUCAUUUUCGGAAAAGCCAAAGUUUUGCAUCGUUUCUGGAAAAUUCAGAGUAUUAGGCCAGUGGGAGCACGUACUGAUAAUCACCAUUGCAUCAGUUCUGCAUACAUGCCAGUGGUGGCAACUGCAAGUUUGUGAAAGAAAUAUUUCACCCAAAUGAUCCAGCAAAAAAAAAUCAAGAAUAUAAUUUUGAGGCUGGGAAAGGGGGGGAGUUAUAAAAGAAAUCAAUAUCAGAAGAACUAAUUUUCAAAGCCUUUAAGGUACUUACGAGCACACUAAGAUGCGAUUUUUCCAGUUGUCAUCUUCAAGUCUAGUCUAACUACAAGAACCUGUCAUGAUGAGUGCAAUGCAUGAAAUGAGAGACUAUUUCACAACCAAGACAAGACACAAUUAACAACUAAGCUGAAAUAAGGUAAUUCCUAUUUUUAGACUUGUGCUAGAACAUUACACACCAUCAGACCAGAAUGACUAAUACUUCACAAUGCUAGAAAAAAAAAAGAACAUACUAAAAUCAUGCUAACAAACACCAAAUCAUGACAAGAACCAAUAGUAACACCAAAUAACACAUUCAAACACUAAGAACUUAUCAAGGAACCUAGAAAGUAGAAACACACCAUUUUAAACUCUUCAUCACCACUCUUUGAGACCAAUUUUCGCUGCUGGGGCUUACCCUCUGAGAAAUUUCUCCUCUUUAACCUUAGUGAACCCUUACCUGGUUGCGAUAAAUCCAACAACAAGCCAAGAAUGAAGCCAAUGGCAACUCCUGGAGGAAAUUCUCUGGCUUAAAACUCAAAUUCAACCAUUACAUUUGCCAUGUGAGUUGUGUAAGGUUGCUUUUGCUUCAAUUUGAUGUAGUUUCUAUAGGGUUGAA
Molecule: long non-coding RNA, 982 nt
Filed under: Fragaria vesca (wild strawberry)
Lineage: Eukaryota; Viridiplantae; Streptophyta; Magnoliopsida; Rosales; Rosaceae
Description: long non-coding RNA (FVES_LNC000849)
Source: RNAcentral